Cyanistes caeruleus (blue tit) is the source of this 339-nucleotide long non-coding RNA. RefSeq lists it as uncharacterized. The record is from RefSeq and is a predicted model, not a curated record. Lineage: Eukaryota; Metazoa; Chordata; Aves; Passeriformes; Paridae.
CUCUCUACUGCAUCAUUAGAUAUAUCUCUUACUGAUUUGUUGAUGGGACUGAGACAAGCUGCAACCGCCUGUUGAUCCAACCAAGGUUCAAAGGAUUCCUUUCCCCGCUGUUGUGACUUCCCAUCAGCAAUGGCAUCAGCUGGAGUGCAGUACUGUCACUAUCCUGUAAUAUCCCCUGGGGUUGUUUCCUGGCCAGUUCCAGCUGCAGCAAAGAUGAUGUAAAAUCAAACUGGGAUUCAGUUAGCUCCUGCAGAGGAAAAAGCCCAAGCUAUGAGUUAUGAGCUUGUGUCUGCAAAGUCACUGCCCAUUAUUCAAUAAAUUUCGAGUGCAUUGUCAGUC